UACGGAGGGUGCAAGCGUUAUCCGGAAUCAUUGGGCGUAAAGCGUCCGUAGGUGGUUAGUUAAGUCAGACGUCAAAGACUGGAGCUCAACUUCAGGAAGAUGUUUGAAACUGGUUAACUUGAGGCUUCCAGAGGCAUAUGGAAUUCUGUGUGUAGGGGUAAAAUCCGUUGAUACACAGAGGAACAUCAAAAGCGAAGGCAGUAUGCUGGGGGAGUCCUGACACUUAGGGACGAAAGCGUGGGGAGCAAACGGG
Molecule: ribosomal RNA, 253 nt
Filed under: uncultured bacterium
Lineage: Bacteria
Description: partial 16S ribosomal RNA
Rfam family: Bacterial small subunit ribosomal RNA
Source: RNAcentral